Nycticebus coucang (slow loris) is the source of this 619-nucleotide long non-coding RNA. RefSeq lists it as uncharacterized. The record is from RefSeq and is a predicted model, not a curated record. Lineage: Eukaryota; Metazoa; Chordata; Mammalia; Primates; Lorisidae. The transcript is spliced from 3 exons.
GGGACAGGCACUCUCAGCGCUCCAUUGCUCAAAAAAAUGCAAAAUGGGAUGAACCCUGUGUGGUCGAAUUCAGCAAUAUCCAUUUUAUUUACACAAGGAUUCACUCUUGGACUCAGCCAUCCCACUUCCGGGCCUAAAUUACAAAGUGCUGAUGACAGAAGAAGCGACGCAAAGCGCGGAGCCCUUGGUGGUCUCAGGAUUUGUAAGAGCAAAGGACUGUCUGGAAAUAGCCUGUGACUGUUGGGAGCGGAGUCUCCUGAGAGAAAGUGGCUGGGGAGGCUCGAAAAAGGCAGAAGUUAAAAUCAGUUGCGAUUUGUCAAUGUAGUGGAAUUACCCCCCUCUUCCUCUCUAUGCUGUGACUUCAACCGCCUAAGUGUGGGGGAGGUGGUGGCGACAUAAAGACACAGUACCUACAUGAAAAUGGAAUUGUCCAUCGUGAUCUCAAGCCAGAGAAUCUUCUCUAUGCAACUCCAGCCCCAGAUGCAGCACUCAAAAUUGAUGACCUAAUAAAAGAAUACUGUUUGGGAAGAUGCCUCAAGAACCAGCAUCAACAUUCUGUUCAAAGCAGGCUGAAUUGGGAAGCGCAAUAGAGACAUACCUAAUUUAAUCUAAGGUGGAG